UUGCACUGUUCGUUACCUGGUUCAGCUGUCAGUUUGAGCUCGGGCUCCAUUACAGUGCUAAAUUAACCUCCAGUUAGGCAGGGGAGUUGUGGCCCUCUAUGCUCACUCCCUGUUCACUUUCUGGAAACACAC
This is a small nucleolar RNA of Syngnathus acus (greater pipefish), 132 nucleotides long. The record is from RefSeq and is a predicted model, not a curated record. Lineage: Eukaryota; Metazoa; Chordata; Actinopteri; Syngnathiformes; Syngnathidae.